GCCAUGCCGCGUGUGUGAAGAAGGCCUUCGGGUUGUAAAGCACUUUCAGUUGUGAGGAAAGUUUAGUAGUUAAUACCUGCUAGAUGUGACGUUAGCAACAGAAGAAGCACCGGCUAACUCCGUGCCAGCAGCCGCGGUAAUACGGAGGGUGCGAGCGUUAAUCGGAAUUACUGGGCGUAAAGCGCACGCAGGCGGUCUGUUAAGCUAGAUGUGAAAGCCCCGCGCUCAACGUGGGAGGGUCAUUUAGAACUGGCAGACUAGAGUCUUGGAGAGGGGAGUGGAAUUCCAGGUGUAGCGGUGAAAUGCGUAGAGAUCUGGAGGAACAUCAAUGGCGAAGGCAACUCCCUGGCCAAAGACUGACGCUCAUGUGCGAAAGUGUGGGUAGCGAACAGGAUUAGAUACCCUGGUAGUCCACACCGUAAACGCUGUCUACUAGCUGUUUGUGGAUUUAAUCCGUGAGUAGCGAAGCUAACGCGAUAAGUAGACCGCCUGGGGAGGUUACGGCCGCAAGGUUA
RNAcentral lists this ribosomal RNA (515 nucleotides) under uncultured Alteromonas sp. RNAcentral describes it as "bacterial SSU rRNA". It matches the Rfam family "Bacterial small subunit ribosomal RNA", at positions 391 to 896 of the family's 1533-position model. Lineage: Bacteria; Pseudomonadati; Pseudomonadota; Gammaproteobacteria; Alteromonadales; Alteromonadaceae. The record is from RNAcentral.